Molecule: long non-coding RNA, 418 nt
Filed under: Physcomitrium patens
Lineage: Eukaryota; Viridiplantae; Streptophyta; Bryopsida; Funariales; Funariaceae
Description: long non-coding RNA (PPAT_LNC000997)
Source: RNAcentral
GAUUUACAUGUCGCAGUAAGGAUUAAAGCAACGGCGCCAUUGCAGCAGGUGCGUUGAGUGACAGGGGAGCGGAGACCUCGAAGUCACCGCAGAUAGCGAUCGAUAGCGUAGCAGAUCCGCGACGCCGCAAAAAUCUAGACACAAUUUAUCUAAAAUUUCAGGUAUCGAGGACUCAAGGACUGACGCCACAACUCAUUCGAUUUAAAAGUAUUUCUAUAUAUUUUUUAUUUUCAAUUACGUGGCAACUCGUUUGGAUUUAUUACCUAUUUUAUGUGUAAGAUAGUUAAGUAUUCAAAUAUCAAUUAUGCUUUUGAAAUCUUAACAGGACAUAUUGUAUUUAUUUCUAAGUUUUGAACUUACAGUAAAAAAUAAAUAUUGAUUUUUUAAGUGCUAUAAUGUUGUAUAAGUUGUAUUUGAG